UACGGAGGGUGCAAGCGUUAUCCGGAUUCACUGGGUUUAAAGGGUGCGUAGGAGGGUGAGUAAGUCAGUGGUGAAAUCUUCGAGCUUAACUCGGAAACUGCCGUUGAUACUACUUGUCUUGAAUACCGUGGAGGUGAGCGGAAUAUGUCAUGUAGCGGUGAAAUGCUUAGAUAUGACAUAGAACACCAAUUGCGAAGGCAGCUCACUACACGAAUAUUGACUCUGAGGCACGAAAGCGUGGGGAUCAAAC
RNAcentral lists this ribosomal RNA (250 nucleotides) under uncultured bacterium. Its description in RNAcentral is "partial 16S ribosomal RNA". It matches the Rfam family "Bacterial small subunit ribosomal RNA", at positions 524 to 773 of the family's 1533-position model. The record is from RNAcentral.